GUUACUGACGCUGAAGCUCGAAGGCGCGGGUAUCGAACAGGAUUAGAUACCCUGGUAGUCCGCGCGGUAAACGAUGGAUGCCCGCUGUUGGCUUGUAUUAGUCAGCGGCCAAGCGAAAGCAUUAAGCAUCCCACCUGGGGAGUACGCCGGCAACGGUGAAACUCAAAGGAAUUGACGGGGGCCCGCACAAGCGGAGGAACAUGUGGUUUAAUUCGAUGAUACGCGAGGAACCUUACCCGGGCUUGAACUGCAGCGGAACGAUCCAGAGAUGGUGAGGCCCUUCGGGGCUGCUGCGGAGGUGCUGCAUGGUUGUCGUCAGCUCGUGCCGUGAGGUGUCGGCUUAAGUGCCAUGACGAGCGCAACCCCUGUCCCCAGUUGCCAUCACUUCGGGUGGGCACUCUGUGGAUACUGCCACCGUAAGGUGCGAGGAAGGUGGGGAUGACGUCAAAUCAGCACGGCCCUUACGUCCGGGGCUACACACGUGUUACAAUGGCGCGUACAGAGGGUUGGCGUCCGGCAACGUCCGUCUAAUCCCAAAAACGCGUCUCAGUUCGGAUUGGGGUCUGCAACCCGACCCCAUGAAGCUGGAUUCGCUAGUAAU
RNAcentral lists this ribosomal RNA (601 nucleotides) under uncultured bacterium. RNAcentral describes it as "bacterial SSU rRNA". It matches the Rfam family "Bacterial small subunit ribosomal RNA", at positions 736 to 1342 of the family's 1533-position model. The record is from RNAcentral.